This 459-nucleotide ribosomal RNA is filed under the name uncultured bacterium. RNAcentral describes it as "partial 16S ribosomal RNA". It matches the Rfam family "Bacterial small subunit ribosomal RNA", at positions 339 to 795 of the family's 1533-position model. The record is from RNAcentral.
CUACGGGUCGCUCCAGUAAGGAAUAUUGCGCAAUGGAGGCAACUCUGACGCAGCCAUGCCGCGUGCAGGAAGAAGGCCUUAUGGGUCGUAAACUGCUUUUAUUUAGGAAUAAACCCCCGAACGUGUUCGGGGCUGAAGGUACUAAACGAAUAAGCACCGGCUAACUCCGAGCCAGCAGCCGCGGUAAUACGGAGGGUGCAAGCGUUAUCCGGAUUUAUUGGGUUUAAAGGGUGCGCAGGCGGGCUAUUAAGUCAGUGGUGAAAUCCCGGGGCUCAACUCCGGAACUGCCAUUGAUACUGAUAGUCUUGAGUUUGGUUGAAGUGGGCGGAAUGCAGCAUGUAGCGGUGAAAUGCAUAGAUAUGCUACAGAACACCAAUCGCGAAGGCAGCUCACUAAGCCAAAACUGACGCUCAUGCACGAAAGCGUGGGGAUCAAACAGGAUUAGAUACCCGUGUAGUC